RNAcentral lists this ribosomal RNA (492 nucleotides) under uncultured bacterium. RNAcentral's name for it is "partial 16S ribosomal RNA". It matches the Rfam family "Bacterial small subunit ribosomal RNA", at positions 29 to 507 of the family's 1533-position model. The record is from RNAcentral.
AGUGAACGCUGGCGGUAGGCCUAACACAUGCAAGUCGAACGGCAGCACAGUAAGAGCUUGCUCUUACGGGUGGCGAGUGGCGGACGGGUGAGGAAUACAUCGGAAUCUACUUUUUCGUGGGGGAUAACGUAGGGAAACUUACGCUAAUACCGCAUACGACCUACGGGUGAAAGCAGGGGAUCUUCGGACCUUGCGCGAUUGAAUGAGCCGAUGUCGGAUUAGCUAGUUGGCGGGGUAAAGGCCCACCAAGGCGACGAUCCGUAGCUGGUCUGAGAGGAUGAUCAGCCACACUGGAACUGAGACACGGUCCAGACUCCUACGGGAGGUAGCAGUGGGGAAUAUUGGACAAUGGGCGCAAGCCUGAUCCAGCCAUACUGCGUGGGUGAAGAAGGCCUUCGGGUUGUAAAGCCCUUUUGUUGGGAAAGAAAAGCAGCAGGUUAAUACCCCGCUGUUCUGACGGUACCCAAAGAAUAAGCACCGGCUAACUUCGUG